RNAcentral lists this ribosomal RNA (445 nucleotides) under uncultured bacterium. RNAcentral's name for it is "partial 16S ribosomal RNA". It matches the Rfam family "Bacterial small subunit ribosomal RNA", at positions 29 to 507 of the family's 1533-position model. The record is from RNAcentral.
AACGAACGCUGGCGGCAGGCCUAACACAUGCAAGUCGAACGAGCUGGGGGCUUCGGUCCCCGAUUCUAGUGGCGCACGGGCGAGUAACACGUGGGUAUAUGCCCUUUAGUACGGACUAACCAAGGGAAACUUUGGCUAAUACCGUAUACGCCCUUCGGGGGAAAGAUUUAUCGCUAAAGGACUAGCCCGCGUCUGAUUAGGUAGUUGGUGAGGUAAUGGCUCACUAAGCCGACGAUCAGUAGCUGGUCUGAGAGGAUGGUCAGCCACACUGGGACUGAGACGCAGCCCGGACUCCUACGCAAUGCAGCAAUGCGGGAUAUUGGACAAUGGGGGCAACCCUGAUCCAGCCAUGCCGCUAGAGUGAAGAUGUCCGUCAAGUUGAAAAGCUCUUUCGACGGGGACGGUGAUGACGGUACCCAAAUAAGAAGCCCCGGCAAACUUCGUG